CCUACGGGUGGCAGCAGUGGGGAAUAUUGCGCAAUGGGCGAAAGACUGACGCAGCGACGCCGCGUGAGGGAUGAAGGUCUUCGGGUCGUAAACCUCUUUCUGCAGGGCAGAAAGGGCCCUGUGCUAAUCCGCAGUGAAUUGACGGUACCUGCAAAGGCAGCCCCGGCUAACUCCGUGCCAGCAGCCGCGGUAAUACGGAGGGUGCGAGCGUUGAUCGGAAUUACUGGUCGUAAAGCGCGCGUAGGCGGUAUGUCACGUCACUGGUGAAAUACCCGCGCUCAACGUGGGAACUGCAUGUGAAACUGGCAAACUGGAGUGUGUGAGAGGAUAGUGGAAGUCGAGGUGUAGGAGUGAAAUCCGUAGAUAUCGGGAGGAACAGCAGUGGCGAAGGCGACAAUCUGGCACAAAACUGACGCUGAGGUGCGAAAGCGUGGGUAGCAAACAGGAUUAGAUACCCCAGUAGUC
This 465-nucleotide ribosomal RNA is filed under the name uncultured bacterium. Its description in RNAcentral is "partial 16S ribosomal RNA". It matches the Rfam family "Bacterial small subunit ribosomal RNA", at positions 338 to 795 of the family's 1533-position model. The record is from RNAcentral.